GGUCGAGCUAAGGUCACAGGAGGAGGAGGAGAGAGGGCACUCAAGGUGUUCGUGCAAUUGCGUCGCCGGCGUGGCUCGGGUGCUUCUUUCCUGCCGCUACGUGCUUGGUGUACGGGCGUGGCAGCGCGACCAGCUACACGCAGACGGAAGAGAAGUGAGUCCUUGGCUCGCAGACCAUGUCGUCCCUGGUGAGCCAGCAGCUGCUGCUCCCCGCGCUGCAUUCCAGUGUUUCACCAGCAGCAUCGCCGUUAGUGGUGGCAUUCGGCACCACAAGGCUCCGCAGCAGCAGCAGCAGCUAUGGUCUUCCUGCUCGGUCUACAGCUCUGGUCUCUUGCACGGGGUCGUCCAGCGGAGGUCUUGCCAAGGAUAAGCUGCAGCAGGCAUGCCAAGAGAACGCUGCCGCCGCUAAGAAUGAAGACGGGGGUCUGGGUUGGAGCAAGGACGAGAUCGAGGCCAUCUCGGCGCUGUUCGCCCGGCCGAUGCACCAAAAGCCGCCGAAGCCCCUGAGCCCGGCGACGCGGCGGCCGCUCCCGCUGCCGCAGCCCCACAAGACGAGGCUGCCGCCCGCUCCGACGCCGAAGCAGCACGUCCGGCUCCCCUCGCGCUCCUCGUUCAGCGACCGGGUGCGCAAGGACCCGGAGGUCCUUGUUGGUAUCGCCCGGGAGAUCGCCGCGCUCGCGCCGGACUCCGAGGUGUCCACGGUGCUGGACCGCUGGGCGCCGUUCCUCCGGAAGGGGUCGCUCUCCAUGACCAUCCGGGAGCUCGGCCACAUGGGGCUCCCCGAGAGGGCGCUCCAGACGCUGUGCUGGGCGCAGGCGCAGAAGGCCGUGCCGCUGUUCCCCGACGACCGCAUCCUCGCCUCGGCCGUCGAGGUCCUGGCGCGCUUCGACGAGCUGAGGAUGGAGUCCGCGCUCGAGGAGUGCGUGCCGUCGGCGAGCCGCGCCGUCCUCGAGGCCAUGGCGAGCGGGUUCAUCGGGGCGGGCAAAGCAGGCCUCGCGCGCAAGGUGCUCGAGCUUGCCAGGGUAAACAAGAGGACGCUGCACCCGGGCAUCUACGCGAAGCUGAUCCUGGAAGUUGCCCAGACACCUGAAGGCUACGGGCUCGCUGCUGCGCUGCUCGAUGAGCUUGGUGAGAGGCCGGACUUUGACCUGCGGCCGCAGGACUGCACGGCUGUCAUGAAGGUCUGCGUAAAGCUCAGGCGGUUCGCGGCCGUGGAGAGCUUGUUCAGCUGGUUCAGGGCGUCCGGCAGGAACCCAACCGUGGUGAUGUACACGACUGUGAUCCACUGCCGCUCCCGAGACGGGAGGCACCGGGAGGCGCUGGCCCUGGUGUGGGAAAUGGAGCAGGCAAACUGCCUUCUUGACCUGCCGGCAUACCGGGUCAUCGUCAAGCUGUGCGUGGCAUUGCGUGAUCCAGAAAGGGCUUUUCGGUACCUGUCUAGGUUGAAGGAGGCUGGGUUCCUUCCGACCAGUGACAUAUACUGUAAUUUGAUUGAAGGCUAUGCCGUAGCGGGGAGGACGGCUAAGUGCCGGCACCUGAUCAGGGAGGCUGAGUCCACCGGCGUGAUGCUUGACAGGAGGCUGGUUUCUAGCUUGUCUGAGAUGCGAACUGGACAUCCUUGAUCCACUGGAAAAGGGAAAGUCUGUGCUCGUGUAAUUAUCUGUAGGUGAUUGGAGACAGAGUAUUGGGAUCAGUUACUGGGAAUUGUAAAUCAUUUAAGAGUUAACAACACUCCAAUUCUGUGAGAGGCUAUCUGAUAACAGGGCUGGCUAGAAUUUGCUGAAGGUUGCUCUCUUCAGAAGUAAAACUUGUACGGGUACCAAUUAAUCACUGAUAUUGGACUAACUGCCAUUGCAAGAGGGUAGACUGAUCUUGUCUUUCUGGAUAUAAGUGUUCUCCCGGUAAAUACUUAUGAGACUGAAUUUACUGCACUACGAGUCGUCCAAAAAUUGAGAAUGAAAGUGGCAUCUACUUCAGUUUUUGUUGUUCAGACUAGG
Molecule: RNA transcript, 1997 nt
Organism: Lolium rigidum
Lineage: Eukaryota; Viridiplantae; Streptophyta; Magnoliopsida; Poales; Poaceae
Gene name: pentatricopeptide repeat-containing protein At2g01860-like
Exons: 3
Source: RefSeq, a predicted model, not a curated record